Molecule: ribosomal RNA, 440 nt
Filed under: uncultured bacterium
Lineage: Bacteria
Description: partial 16S ribosomal RNA
Rfam family: Bacterial small subunit ribosomal RNA
Source: RNAcentral
CCUACGGGUGGCAGCAGUGGGGGAUAUUGCACAAUGGGGGAAACCCUGAUGCAGCGACGCCGCGUGUGGGAAGACGGUUCUCUGGAUUGUAAACCACUGUCCCCAGGGACGAAGAUGACGGUACCUGGGGAGAAAGCUCCGGCUAACCACGUGCCAGCAGCCGCGGUAAUACGUAGGGAGCGAGCGUUGUCCGGAAUUACUGGGUGAAAAGGGAGCGUAGGCGGGGAUGCAAGUUGGGUGUCAAUACUACGGGCUCAACUGGUAGUCGCACUCAAAACUGUAGCUCUUGAGUGAAGUAGAGGCAGGCGGAAUUCCUAGUGUAGCGGUGAAAUGCGUAGAGAUUAGGAGGAACACCAGUGGCGAAGGCGACCUGCUGGGCUUUUACUGACGCUGAGGCGCGAAAGUGUGGGGAGCAAACAGGAUUAGAUACCCUAGUAGUC